RNAcentral lists this long non-coding RNA (205 nucleotides) under Hordeum vulgare. RNAcentral's name for it is "long non-coding RNA (HVUL_LNC009217)". Lineage: Eukaryota; Viridiplantae; Streptophyta; Magnoliopsida; Poales; Poaceae. The record is from RNAcentral.
UCCGUCCUAACAAUCUUCCUUACAUAGACGAGUUAAAAAAAUGGGAAUACGUUGAGGUUGGGGAUACAUAUGGAAUCAUUUGGCACAAAGACCCCACCAUUGAGAACUCUCAUGGUCAUGCCUUUGGUAAGGAACUAAGGACCACAUCAGUGCAGACCCAAUGCCAUUUAUGUAGUAGCAAUGAACAGCAUGGACCAGUGGUUAA